This 2340-nucleotide long non-coding RNA is filed under the name Suricata suricatta (meerkat). Its description in RNAcentral is "lncRNA (ENSSSUG00005012497.1)". Lineage: Eukaryota; Metazoa; Chordata; Mammalia; Carnivora; Herpestidae. The record is from RNAcentral.
AAUUAUCAGACUGCUCUAUCACAAAAAUGGACAAAUGCCUGGCAAAUUGUUUUUGGCAUAUGGAGUCUUAUCAACGUUUUCCAAGUAGGACUGCUUACAAAAAGUAUUUUCAGAUAUCAGUGACUGAUGCAGGUCAGAGCUGUGGGGACUUGAGUCCAACUUCAACUGCAGCAGUGCUCUAAGAGAACUUGGUCCUUUGGCCUAUUUAAAUAGGGGUGAAUUGUCAGGCUAAGUGUGAGGUGCCUUCCAAAAAGACUGCAGUGCCUCCUCAGUGCUUCUAAGUCAGGAUAACACAGACCAAACUUUGAAAACUAUCGUAUUAUCAUGGAGGUCUCAAAUUUUAUCAACUGACAUUAGAGAAUGUCUAUCAAGCAUCCAGAAAAAUAAGGACUUGGUUGCUGCCCUCAAAGAACCCACCUCAAGCCUAACAGAAAAUACCAAAUAUUUUCUCCCUUAUAUCAUUUCAUUUAAGACCUACAACCUUGAGGUGGGUAUGGUUACCAUCCUUAUCCUACCAUGGAGUAAAUGUUCCGCUCCAAAUCACACAGUAAGUGAUAAGCCAGGGCUCUCUAAAUCCUUGGGUAUUGAUGGGCACCAUUUAGUCCAGGGAGUCCAAAUCUUAAGCUUGCUGUUCAGUUUUUCUGGUCAAAUGAAGAGUUCCUCAUUUCACUGAUACCACUGACUUUUUAUUUGUCCACUGAUCCAGGACGAAGAACCUGGUACCUCAUGGUCACUACCAGGCUGUUCGAAGCGACUGUGCCGCCAACUUAGCAGAGGGAGCAGUGCGCAUGCCUGGGCUUGGGGCCAGCCCGACCCCUAGGGUCUGUGAACGAAACCUGUCCCAGCUGGCUCAGCGCCUCCACUCGAGACCCCUCAGAGGCUUGCCCUCGGCCGCCUAGGCCAGACCUGUCUCCUGAGGCCAGCAACCCACGAAGCGCCGCCAGCAGGCCCGCCACCAGCCCCGAAGCCGAAGCAGGCGCUGACUCAGGGGUCGCCGGGGAAGCUGACCCGACCGUCCUAGGGACCCUGGGCCGUGGGGGCAGACGAGGGCGCUCUGCGGACCUCUCAACUUGCUGCCGGCCCCGGCCCGGGCCCCGUGCCGCGGAGGUGUUCGCGCAGGGCUCUCGGCCCCUCGGGUGGACGGGGUUCCCGCCCGCAGGCCGCCCUCGUGCAGCCCCGAGGCCUGAGCCCCCGCCUCUGGCUGCCAGCCCGCGCUCCGCGUUCACCGCGCUGGGUCGGGGCCCGCCUCUCGGCCGUUUUCGCUUUCGCUUUCCUGCCGCGGUCGUUGAGGAAAAUGAAAGUGACCGUGGCCGUGGCCCGGCCCGGCACAGCUGCCGUCGGGGCGAGGGGUGCACAAAACGCCAGCGGUCGGCGAGGAGCGUGCGAGCUGGAGCCGCUGCCCGCGCCAGACGAGAUGGCAGCACGCUCUGGACUUCUCUGCCCGGCAAGCAGCCCUGAGGCUGGACAGCAGGGAAGCAAGAAAAUGGACUCCCCUCUGCAGCCUGCAAUGGUCACGUGGCUGGUCGAGGUUGGAUCUCCCAGAGACCAGGGCAUAUACAUACAUGUGUGCCCUGGCCCGAAUCCUCAGAUCACCAAGGCUUUGGCCACCUCCACCCUUGUGUGACACUGUGAGUCUAUACGUGACUGCAUUUGUUUGUCAGUGUCACUCCCUGGGCUGAACCGAUAAGGGGGUGAAGGGGGACUUUGGGUAAGUCGCUUCCCAGCCUUUCGGAAGCCCUGGGAAAGCAGCGGCAGGCACCCUGCCAGGCCUCUGUGGUCCGCACUGCGGCAGUCCAGGCACGAUCCAAGAGCUGCAGACACUGCCCUGGGGAGUUUCGGAGCUACAGGUCCCUGGGCAAGACUUUCCUCCCAAGUGGGAGCCACAGGGCUGAUCGUGAUCCAGGCAGGCAUCAGCACAGCUGCUGCCACAGCACAAGUUGACUCUUGUCACCCCCCUGAUCCUCUAGCGCAGGCAGAAGGAUAUGAGGCCUCGGUCUGUACCGUAGUUUUCCAUUCAUUCCUUUGCUCACUCCUUCACAGAGUACCCAGCAAAUAAGUAAGCACCUAAGAUGUCCUGAGCGAGCUUGAGGCAACACACAAAACAACCCAGGUCCCUGGGUUGCCCUUGCUUGACCCUUCUGGUCUCACCUGUGGAAUUUGACUAGGCAGAGCAUCCUUGUCCAGAGGGAGGGAGAAAGGAAAAAAACAAGUUAUUGAGGGUCUUUCUCAUCUUGGUGGUCUCUGAUUCUGUAGACAGAUCCCACAGAAUAUUCUUUAAUGGAUUAGGCAUAUCCCUUAAAUCAUGUCCGGGGGUUGGGUUGCGAUCUGUAUUUCUAUUAU